GCCGAGAUGGCGGAAUGGUAGACGCUGCGGACUUAAAAUCCGUUGCCUUCAUAGGCGUGAGGGUUCGAGUCCCUCUCUCGGCACCA
This 86-nucleotide transfer RNA is filed under the name Candidatus Dojkabacteria bacterium. RNAcentral's name for it is "tRNA-Leu". It matches the Rfam family "tRNA". From Rfam's summary of the family: Transfer RNA (tRNA) molecules are approximately 80 nucleotides in length. The record is from RNAcentral.